GAAUCUGUUUCCUGAGCAGGGGACUGGAGGGUGGGGAGUGUGGAGAAUGGGCAUCCAGGAUCCCUUCUCCUGCUGGGAAGCUGUCACUCUGAGGAGGGGGCUAGCCAGCAUUGUCUCCUCCAUGCCAAUGAGCCAGUGGAGAGAUACAAGAAGGGACCUGAAACCUGCCCAGGCCUGAUGCAGGGAUGGGGGAUGGAGCCUUAGUGCCUCUGACCCCCAUCCUCUCACCCUGCCCCAGAUGGACUCCUGUCUUACACCGCCCCUGUGGGGCAGACAAUGUAUUUAUCUGAGGCCGUGUACCUCAACGACUCCACCUAUGACGGACAUACCGUGGGCGGACUGCAGUAUGGGGGUCUGGGCCAGCUGGCAGAUGGUGUGGUGGGGCUGGAUGACUUUAGGAAGAGUCAGGAGCUGCGGGUCUGGCCAGGCUAUGACUAUGUGGGAUGGAGCAACCACAGCUUCUCCAGUGGCUAUGUGGAGAUGGAGUUUGAGUUUGACCGGCUGAGGGCCUUCCA
RNAcentral lists this long non-coding RNA (515 nucleotides) under Homo sapiens (human). RNAcentral describes it as "long non-coding RNA NONHSAT117365.2". The record is from RNAcentral. Lineage: Eukaryota; Metazoa; Chordata; Mammalia; Primates; Hominidae.